CCUGGGAACUGCGUUNUGAACUGGGUGACUAGAGUGUGUCAGAGGGAGGUAGAAUUCCACGUGUAGCAGUGAAAUGCGUAGAGAUGUGGAGGAAUACCGAUGGCGAAGGCAGCCUCCUGGGAUAACACUGACGUUCAUGCCCGAAAGCGUGGGUAGCAAACAGGAUUAGAUACCCUGGUAGUCCACGCCCUAAACGAUGUCGAUUAGCUGUUGGGCAGCAUGACUGCUUAGUAGCGAAGCUAACGCGUGAAAUCGACCGCCUGGGGAGUACGGUCGCAAGAUUAAAACUCAAAGGAAUUGACGGGGACCCGCACAAGCGGUGGAUGAUGUGGAUUAAUUCGAUGCAACGCGAAGAACCUUACCUGGUCUUGACAUGUACGGAACCCUCCAGAGACGGAGGGGUGCCUUCGGGAGCCGUAACACAGGUGCUGCAUGGCUGUCGUCAGCUCGUGUCGUGAGAUGUUGGGUUAAGUCCCGCAACGAGCGCAACCCUUGUCAUUAGUUGCCAUCAUUAAGUUGGGCACUCUAAUGAGACUGCCGGUGACAAGCCGGAGGAAGGUGGGGAUGACGUCAAGUCCUCAUGGCCCUUAUGACCAGGGCUUCACACGUCAUACAAUGGUCGGUACAGAGGGUAGCCAAGCCGCGAGGUGGAGCCAAUCUCACAAAACCGAUCGUAGUCCGGAUUGCACUCUGCAACUCGAGUGCAUGAAGUCGGAAUCGCUAGUAAUCGCAGGUCAGCAUACUGCGGUGAAUACGUUCCCGGGUCUUGUACACAC
This 776-nucleotide ribosomal RNA is filed under the name uncultured bacterium. RNAcentral's name for it is "bacterial SSU rRNA". It matches the Rfam family "Bacterial small subunit ribosomal RNA", at positions 613 to 1390 of the family's 1533-position model. The record is from RNAcentral.